UAGGCGUACGGGUGAGUAACACGUGGAUGAUCUGCCUUUUAGUGGGGAAUACCGCUGGGAAACCGGUGACAAUACCGCAUAAUCCCGAGAGGGGAAAGCAAUUAAAUGCGCUGAAAGAGGAGUCCGCGGUCGAUUAGUUAGUUGGCAGGGUAAGAGCCUACCAAGACUGUGAUCGAUAGCCGGCCUGAGAGGGCACACGGCCACACUGGCACUGAAACACGGGCCAG
Molecule: ribosomal RNA, 227 nt
Filed under: uncultured bacterium
Lineage: Bacteria
Description: partial 16S ribosomal RNA
Rfam family: Bacterial small subunit ribosomal RNA
Source: RNAcentral